AUUGAACGCUGGCGGCAGGCCUAACACAUGCCAGUCGAGCGGUAGAGAGAAGCUUGCUUCUCUUGAGAGCGGCGGACGGGUGAGUAAUGCCUAGGAAUCUGCCUGGUAGUGGGGGAUAACGUUCGGAAACGGACGCUAAUACCGCAUACGUCCUACGGGAGAAAGCAGGGGACCUUCGGGCCUUGCGCUAUCAGAUGAGCCUAGGUCGGAUUAGCUAGUUGGUGGGGUAAUGGCUCACCAAGGCGACGAUCCGUAACUGGUCUGAGAGGAUGAUCAGUCACACGGGAACUGAGACACGGUCCAGACUCCUACGGGAGGCAGCAGUGGGGAAUAUUGGACAAUGGGCGAAAGCCUGAUCCAGCCAUGCCGCGUGUGUGAAGAAGGUCUUCGGAUUGUAAAGCACUUUAAGUUGGGAGGAAGGGCAGUAAAUUAAUACUUUGCUGUUUUGACGUUACCGACAGAAUAAGCACCGGCUAACUCUGUG
Molecule: ribosomal RNA, 484 nt
Filed under: uncultured bacterium
Lineage: Bacteria
Description: partial 16S ribosomal RNA
Rfam family: Bacterial small subunit ribosomal RNA
Source: RNAcentral